GCCAUGGUUCAGUGGUAGAGCAUCUGCUUUGCAUGCAGAAGGUCUGAGGUUCAUUCUCCUGGUAGGCA
Non-coding RNA from Podarcis lilfordi (Lilford's wall lizard), 68 nucleotides. NCBI's taxonomy places the organism in Eukaryota, Metazoa, Chordata, Lepidosauria, Squamata, Lacertidae. The record is from the annotation of a GenBank genome assembly.